UGAGGAAUAUUGGGCAAUGCCCGCAAGGGUGACCCAGCAACGCCGCGUGGAGGAUGAAUGUCGUAAGAUUGUAAACUCCUGUUAGAGGGGAAGAAUAGUACCGGUUGGACGGGUAUAUGACUGUACCCUCAGAGAAAGCCCCGGCUAACUACGUGCCAGCAGCCGCGGUAAUACGUAGGGGGCAAGCGUUGUCCGGAUUUACUGGGUGUAAAGGGCGCGCAGGCGGGAUAAAAAGUCAGUGGUGAAAUCCUACAGCUUAACUGUAGAACUGCCUUUGAUACUUUUAUUCUUGAGUUCGGGAGAGAGAGACGGAAUUCCAGGUGUAGUGGUGAAAUACGUAGAUAUCUGGAAGAACACCAGUUGCGAAGGCGGUCUCUUGGUCCGACACUGACGCUGAGGCGCGAAAGCGUGGGGAGCAAGCA
RNAcentral lists this ribosomal RNA (422 nucleotides) under uncultured bacterium. Its description in RNAcentral is "bacterial SSU rRNA". It matches the Rfam family "Bacterial small subunit ribosomal RNA", at positions 355 to 774 of the family's 1533-position model. The record is from RNAcentral.